GCGGUAAUGAUGGAAUUGGUAGACAUGAAAGAUUCAAAAUCUUUUGGGCUGAAAGGCUCGUUUGGGUUCGAGUCCCUAUUUCCGCAC
RNAcentral lists this transfer RNA (87 nucleotides) under termite gut metagenome. RNAcentral's name for it is "tRNA-Leu". It matches the Rfam family "tRNA". Rfam says of the family: Transfer RNA (tRNA) molecules are approximately 80 nucleotides in length. Their secondary structure includes four short double-helical elements and three loops (D, anti-codon, and T loops). Further hydrogen bonds mediate the characteristic L-shaped molecular structure. tRNAs have two regions of fundamental functional importance: the anti-codon, which is responsible for specific mRNA codon recognition, and the 3' end, to which the tRNAs corresponding amino acid is attached (by aminoacyl-tRNA synthetases). tRNAs cope with the degeneracy of the genetic code in two manners: having more than one tRNA (with a specific anti-codon) for a particular amino acid; and 'wobble' base-pairing, i.e. permitting non-standard base-pairing at the 3rd anti-codon position. The record is from RNAcentral.